RNAcentral lists this ribosomal RNA (496 nucleotides) under uncultured bacterium. RNAcentral describes it as "partial 16S ribosomal RNA". It matches the Rfam family "Bacterial small subunit ribosomal RNA", at positions 30 to 523 of the family's 1533-position model. The record is from RNAcentral.
ACUGAACGCUGGCGGCAUGCUUCACACAUGCAAGUCGAACGGUAGAGGGGGCAACCCCUUGAGAGUGGCGAACGGGUGAGUAAUGCAUCGGAACGUGCCCAGUCGUGGGGGAUAACGCAGCGAAAGCUGUGCUAAUACCGCAUACGAUCUCUGGAUGAAAGCGGGGGACCGAAAGGCCUCGCGCGAUUGGAGCGGCCGAUGUCAGAUUAGGUAGUUGGUGGGGUAAAGGCUCACCAAGCCAACGAUCUGUAGCUGGUCUGAGAGGACGACCAGCCACACUGGGACGGAGACACGGCCCAGACUCCUACGGGAGGCAGCAGUGGGGAAUUUUGGACAAUGGGCGAAAGCCUGAUCCAGCAAUGCCGCGUGCAGGAAGAAGGCCUUCGGGUUGUAAACUGCUUUUGUACGGAACGAAAAGGUCUGGGUUAAUACCCUGAGCACAUGACGGUACCGUAAGAAUAAGCACCGGCUAACUACGUGCCAGCAGCCGCCGUAA